Molecule: ribosomal RNA, 229 nt
Filed under: Aspergillus heldtiae
Lineage: Eukaryota; Fungi; Ascomycota; Eurotiomycetes; Eurotiales; Aspergillaceae
Description: partial 28S ribosomal RNA
Rfam family: Eukaryotic large subunit ribosomal RNA
Source: RNAcentral
GGUUGACCUCGGAUCAGGUAGGGAUACCCGCUGAACUUAAGCAUAUCAAUAAGCGGAGGAAAAGAAACCAACCGGGAUUGCCUCAGUAACGGCGAGUGAAGCGGCAAAAGCUCAAAUUUGAAAGCUGGCUCCUUCGGGGUCCGCAUUGUAAUUUGCAGAGGAUGCUUCGGGUGCAGCCCCCGUCUAAGUGCCCUGGAACGGGCCGUCAUAGAGGGUGAGAAUCCCGUAU